Molecule: ribosomal RNA, 511 nt
Filed under: uncultured bacterium
Lineage: Bacteria
Description: partial 16S ribosomal RNA
Rfam family: Bacterial small subunit ribosomal RNA
Source: RNAcentral
GGACGAACGCUGGCGGCGUGCUUAACACAUGCAAGUCGAACGAAGAGCGAUGGAAGCUUGCUUCUAUCAAUCUUAGUGGCGAACGGGUGAGUAACGCGUAAUCAACCUGCCCUUCAGAGGGGGACAACAGUUGGAAACGACUGCUAAUACCGCAUACGAUCUAAUCUCGGCAUCGAGGAUAGAUGAAAGGUGGCCUCUACAUGUAAGCUAUCACUGAAGGAGGGGAUUGCGUCUGAUUAGCUAGUUGGAGGGGUAACGGCCCACCAAGGCGAUGAUCAGUAGCCGGUCUGAGAGGAUGAACGGCCACAUUGGGACUGAGACACGGCCCAGACUCCUACGGGAGGCAGCAGUGGGGAAUCUUCCGCAAUGGACGAAAGUCUGACGGAGCAACGCCGCGUGAGUGAUGACGGCCUUCGGGUUGUAAAGCUCUGUUAAUCGGGACGAAAGGCCUUCUUGCGAACAGUUAGAAGGAUUGACGGUACCGGAAUAGAAAGCCACGGCUAACUACGUG